UUAUAAAUGAGAAGUUACAUUCUCGUGCCACUCUCAAGGAAGGAAAAAAGGAAGCUGAGAAUUGAGGAUAGAAGAGUGUUUCCUUCCUGGCCGGUCAUUCCGCGUGAAUGAUCACUACUUGCUGCGACUGGCAGCACCAAGGUUGCUAUGUAUUUAAUGCCAGGAUUGCUAUGUUACUGUUAAUGGUGACGGUAAGAUAUAGCUACAAAGCAAGCUGCAAACGAGUAGGCUAAAACAUUGGUAAGGCUCCGCCCGACAAAUGGGCUCGAGGCGCGAAACUGAGGAUGAAUCAGGACCGUUGCUCAAAGGCGACGGGCUCGCCGACUAAAAUGCGUCCGCGCACACCGGAUCGCGGCUCACCGUCUCUCUCCUUCGCAUUUUCCCGCCAGAAACCCAUCCCCGUCGACCUUCAUUUACCGCCAAGUCUCUCUCUCCCGCCCUCUUCCCUGACCUAAACCCUCACUCGCGAGGCUCUGCGCGUAAUUAAUUGGCGUUGUGUUUUCGUGGCUAUGCGCGUAAUUGAUCGGCGGCGUUAUGCGAAUCCGGGAUCCAAUUUGAUGUUGUGAUGAAGCCGACAGCAAUCGCGAAGGAUUUCCUCUCGAACUUCGCCAACGCGAAUGGAGAAGCCAAGUACAUGAACGUCCUCACGUGGUCGAGGCCCCCCUCAUUGUUGCAUGGCUGCUCCCGCUGGCCUGGCUCGUGAGCCGGAGGGGCCGGCAAGUGGAUGAUAGGCGCCACAAGAUGAAGCGGCUGCUGCGAUUGGCUUCGGAAGAAGCUGUGCGAGUCGAGCUCAAGGCGUCGAUCGUGGCGUGGAUAGGCCUGAUUGAGGCCCUCAUCCUCUGCAUCAUAU
Eucalyptus grandis is the source of this 850-nucleotide long non-coding RNA. RefSeq lists it as uncharacterized. The record is from RefSeq and is a predicted model, not a curated record. The transcript is spliced from 3 exons. Lineage: Eukaryota; Viridiplantae; Streptophyta; Magnoliopsida; Myrtales; Myrtaceae.